GCUGGGGUGGCCGAGCGGUUUAAGGCGCUAGCCUGCUAAGCUAGUGGGGCAUGUCCCCGCGAGGGUUCAAAAACAAAACCUUUCUUAGAAAGAAAGUUUUGUAUUUUGCGACAAAGUCGCAAUACUUGGAACUUCAGUUCCAAGAUUCAAAGAAUUGCAAUUCCUUCGGAUUUGCCUUUCGUGAGAGUCCCUCCCCCAGCGCCA
RNAcentral lists this transfer RNA (204 nucleotides) under archaeon. RNAcentral's name for it is "tRNA-Ser". The stretch from base 1 to 61 matches the Rfam family "tRNA". The record is from RNAcentral.